CCUACGGGUGGCAGCAGUAGGGAAUAUUGGACAAUGGGCGCAAGCCUGAUCCAGCCAUGCCGCGUGAGUGAAGAAGGCCCUCGGGUUGUAAAGCUCUUUUGUCAGGAAAGAAAAGCAAUCGGUUAAUACCCGGUUGUUCUGACGGUACCGGAAGAAUAAGCACCGGCUAACUUCGUGCCAGCAGCCGCGGUAAUACGAAGGGUGCAAGCGUUACUCGGAAUUACUGGGCGUGAAGCGUGCGGAGGGGUGUGAAGGCCCGGGGCUCAACCUUGGAAUGGCAUUGGCUACUGGCGGGCUAGAGUGCGGUAGAGGGUAGUGGAAGUCCCGGUGUAGCAGUGAAAUGCGUAGAGAUCGGGAGGAACAUCUGUGGCGAAGGCGACUGCCUGGACCAGCACUGACACUGAGGCACGAAAGCGUGGGGAGCAAACAGGAUUAGAUACCCCAGUAGUC
This 450-nucleotide ribosomal RNA is filed under the name uncultured bacterium. Its description in RNAcentral is "partial 16S ribosomal RNA". It matches the Rfam family "Bacterial small subunit ribosomal RNA", at positions 338 to 795 of the family's 1533-position model. The record is from RNAcentral.